UCAGAUCAUCCCAGACAACUUUUUCAUCGGUGAUAAAAACUAUGCUCGACGCCAAUUCUUUCGAAACAGAAUUUAACAACAAUACAGAUAUAUGGGAUUGGACUCAGUAGACGGAGGCAAAGAUCCAUUUAUGAAGCCAAACUUAUUCUUAGCAUUCAAAGCUAUUAACAUGGAACGUUUUCAUGUAUGGUAAUUUUCGCUAGACAGAGGCUAUGUAACAAGAAUGAUGCCUGGGUUAUCCCUGUUCCGAAGAAAAUAUGGAGUAGAAGAAUCCUCACAAGGAUUGGAAAAAGAUGCAAACGAAGUAGCCAUUUGCAAAGAAGAAGA
This is a long non-coding RNA of Juglans microcarpa x Juglans regia, 327 nucleotides long. RefSeq lists it as uncharacterized. NCBI's taxonomy places the organism in Eukaryota, Viridiplantae, Streptophyta, Magnoliopsida, Fagales, Juglandaceae. The transcript has 2 exons. The record is from RefSeq and is a predicted model, not a curated record.